RNAcentral lists this ribosomal RNA (505 nucleotides) under Sciara humeralis. RNAcentral describes it as "partial 16S ribosomal RNA". The record is from RNAcentral. Lineage: Eukaryota; Metazoa; Arthropoda; Insecta; Diptera; Sciaridae.
GUCUUUUAGAAUUAAAUUAAAAGUCUAACCUGCCCAUUGAAUUAUUUAAAAGGCUGCGGUAUUUUGACCGUACAAAGGUAGCAUAAUCAUUAGUUUUUUAAUUGGAAACUUGUAUGAAUGGUUGAAUGAGAUAUUAACUGUUUUAAUAAAAAUAUAGAAUUUUACUUUUUAAUUAAAAGGUUAAAAUAAAAUUAAAAGACGAGAAGACCCUAUAGAUUUUUAUAUUUUUAAUAUUAAAAAAUUAAAGUUUAUUAUUUUUUUAAUAAAAUUAAAUAUUUUAUUGGGGUGAUAGUAAAAUUUAAAAAACUUUUAUUUAAAAUUUAACAUUAAUUUAUGAUUAAUUGAUCCAAAUAUUUUGAUUAUAAGAUUAAAUUACCUUAGGGAUAACAGCGUAAUUUUUUUUUAAGUUCUUAUUAAUAAAAAAGUUUGCGACCUCGAUGUUGGAUUAAGAUUAAUUUUAGGUGCAGAAGUUUAAAAUUUAAGUCUGUUCGACUUUUAAAUUCUU